UGCUCUUAGUCUCGAAUAUUUCAGGGCAUCCCCACCCAGGGCCGUGCCCUUCCUCUCGGGUUUGGUUUUAGAAAGUGAGUGAGUGUAGAAAUAAGAAUCCAGCCGUCCUGCAGGCGGGGCAAACUGGCCCAGCGGUUCUACCAGAACCUGCAAGUUUAGAAAUCAUUUUCUAGAUGACAGGAGGAAAGCAUAAAUCCUGAAGACCUGGGUGGCUCUCAAAAUAGGCCACCUAGUUUGCUCUUGUAUCUGGUCUGGAGGUCUGUCCUAGAGUCUUAGAGGUGAAGCACAUAAGCUAGGCCCCUGUGCUCCUUCCUAGUUUUGGUGUGUGUUGUUUGCUCUGUCAGCUUCAGGGGCGUCUCAGAGCUCUUGGAAAAGGGUUCACCUUUCCCGGUACAGCUGUACCAUGAGUUUCAGUUACUGCCAGUAUGGCUAAAAGCAGUUUCAGGGCUUCCUUCUUGACUCUUCUUAGCCUGAAAAGCUGUUUGUAAGACAUUUAUGGAAGAUAUUUAGAGAAAACCGAGUUUCACCUAACGGGCAUUCACCCACCCCCCUACUUAUUUUAAUUGUGGUUUGGGGUUAAAUGCAGACUACUGGCAACUAUUGGUAACACAGCCCAGUCCCUAGAGCUGGGGUUUCCCCUGCUCCCAGAGGAAGUCCUGGAGGGAUGAGAGAAUCCAAAGGAAUGAACAGAAUCAGGGAAUCCUCCAAGUGCUGUCACGUGAUGGUCUUGGCUGAGGUCAGGAAAACCCAACUUGGUUCAGCUCUCUUUUCUCCAGGGUCUCCUAAACCUCAGCUCUGGCUCUUCAAGGGGACAGUUCUUCCAAAUCUUCCUACAGGCCUCUGAGGCUCCAGCUCAUCCAUACGAGCAGAGAGUGAAGGAAAUCCUGCCCCUUCCCUUUGGUCCCAAGGAAGAUGCAAUUGGAUUUAGGAUAUUCUUACUCACUGGCUUUCUUCAGCUAGGCCACAAGCCUUAAAAUGUUUAGUGUGUGCUAGGCCCUGGGGAUGCAGAGAUGCAAGAGUCCUUUUUCUCUCAAAGAACCCCAACUUUUCUGGGGAGAUAGUAGAUGUAAUUCCCAGCAAUUGGUGGCUAGUACAAGAAUGUUGGAGAGGGGCUUCUAAAAUCCCUGAAACAAUAUGAUUCAUGGAGGAAGCAACAUUUGUUAAGAAGUCAACAAAUAAUCUAUCUAGCUGUCACUGUGACUCUUUAAAAACAUUGCAACCUGAGGCUGGAGAGACGGCUCAGAGGUUAAGAGCACUGGCUCUUCCAGAGGCCCUGAGUUCAAUUCCCAGCAACUAUAUGAUGGCUAACAACCAUCUGUAAUGAGAUCUGGUGCCCUCUUCUGGCCUGCAGGCAUACAUGCAGACAGAGCACUACAACCUUUUAAAAAUGUUUAUGGGUGCUCAUUGAGCUGAAUGAAUGUAUUCUUGAAAUUAUCAUGUGCCUGUGUCUGUAAGCAUGUACGCACCCCCACUUGCACGUGUGCCAGAGCACAUUUGUGGAGGUCAGAGAAGAGUUUUUAGGAGUCGGUCCUUUCCUGGUCCUGUGGGAUUUGGAGAUUGAACUCAGGUCAUCAGGCUCACACAGCAAGCACCUUCACUCUCCGAGGCCUCCUGCUGACUCAAGCAUCACAUUCCUUUUGUGGAGGGCUUGGAAAACAUAGCAACUAAAACAGACUCCAAGGCUCUAGAAAUAGAAGAGCCACAGCUGAGAAGAGCCUAGGUCCUCAAAUCACUAUAUGGCAGAAAACUACUUGUUGGCCAGGAACCCAUCAAUGGGUCAGUAAUGUAGGUUGUACCCUGUACCAUGCAGAAACCUGUACAGCCUACCUGAACAUUCCUUCCAUCCAGAGACUAGGUCCCUGCACAGACCAGAGGAGGAUGUUGGAUGUCCUGGAGCUGGAGUUACAGGUGAUCCGGAGCUGCCUGAUAUGAGUGCUGGAGAUUAACUCGUGUUCUCUGAAGGAGCAACAAUUUCUGUUAAUCGCUGAGCCACAUUGCCAGUCCUCCAGAAGUCCUCUUAGCUCGACUGGAAAUCACCACUCCCUUUGGCAGGAAAGAUACAAAUGUGAAUGAUUAUAAUUUAUUAAAUAUGUAUGGAGUGACCUAUUAAUUCCCGAAGUCAUUUGGCUACAGGAAAUAUACCAGUGACCAAGACAUAAAAAUCACUGACUUGACGAGUUAUGCUAGAUAGUUUUAUGUCAACUUGACACAAGCUAGUGUCUUCUGGGAGCAGGGAACCUCAACUAAGAAAAUGCCUCCAGCUGGGCGGUGGUGGCACAUGCCUUUAAUCCCACCACUCGGGAGGCAG
Molecule: non-coding RNA, 2308 nt
Organism: Cricetulus griseus (Chinese hamster)
Lineage: Eukaryota; Metazoa; Chordata; Mammalia; Rodentia; Cricetidae
Source: RefSeq, a predicted model, not a curated record